Sarcophilus harrisii (Tasmanian devil) is the source of this 2350-nucleotide RNA transcript. It is a transcript of the gene named proteasome inhibitor subunit 1, with no coding region annotated. Lineage: Eukaryota; Metazoa; Chordata; Mammalia; Dasyuromorphia; Dasyuridae. The transcript is spliced from 8 exons. The record is from RefSeq and is a predicted model, not a curated record.
GUUUCCUUCCGGGCCCCUGGUCGCCGGAGCACGGGCCUGCGCAGUUGGCGCCGUUUCACUUUCGCCACCGAGGCGGGGCCCGCUGGGAGUCCCGGACCGUUGGGCCGUCAUGAGGGGCUGACUUGACAUUUGUGUCGGCGGGAGGCUGGCCGCGGAGAGGUCAUGGUCGGGCUGGAAUUGCUCUACGCCUCGGCGGCGCCGGGGAUCACCUGCUGCCAGGAUGCGCUUGUCUGCUUUGUGCACUGGGAGCUCAUCAGCGACGGCUACCAAGGCCUGGGUACCGGCGACCAGCCAGGUCCAGAUGAUAAGAAAUCUGAGCUGCUGCCAUCUGGAUGGAAUGCCAAUAAAGAUCUGUAUGUCCUUCGCUAUGAGACCACAGAUAAGUCAAAGGAACUCCUUCUGAAGGCCAUCAUGGUGGAUGAUAGCAUGAUUAUCAAUGCUUUGGAGUGUAAGUCACAACAAGUGGUGGACUUGACCCUGAACGUGGAGGAUUAUGUGGAUGGUGAACACCUGGGUAACUUCCACAGGGUCUACAAGAACAGCAAAGAGCUCCAGAAAAGGAUUGCUUCAGGCCUCAUUUCACCCCUCCGCAACUCUUUGAGCAAAAGUGAUUCUUCCACUUCCCCUCGGGAAUUUCCGCCUGCCACUUCUAGAGAAUACGACCCUCUCCGUAUUCCCCCCCACCAUCCACAUACCAGCAGACAGCCUCCUUGCAUUUUACUGGGGUCUAAUCUACUCAGAGCCCAUCUGGACUUUGUGCCCAGUUGUGAGUGCCACAUUUUAGGAGGAACAUUGACAAGAUGGAACACAUCCAGAAGAGGAUGACUUCAGAAUGGGAAGGGGAUUCAGACAGCAUCAUACAAUGAUUACUUAAAGGAAAUGGGAAUGUUUAGCCUUGAGAAAGAGGCGUGAUCCCCUGGGUCCCUUUGCCGUUGGGGGAGAGGACCUGGAUCCCUUUAGGGGUCAGAGAGGUGGCAUGAUUCUGGACCCCCUGAGAACUGGCUUCCCAAGAGCUCUCAUUGACCCAUCUUCUGGACUCCCCAACCGGCUUCCUCCAGGUGCUGUUCCUCCCGGAGCUCGAUUUGAUCCUUUUGGCCCCAUUGGAACUAGUCCAUCUGGACCCAGUCCAGAUCAUCUCCCACCCCCAGGCUAUGAUGACAUGUUCAUGUGAAGGCCAUAAAAAUGUACAUCCCAGCCUGAGCAUCUUUAUAGAGCUGAACCAAGAUCAUCAGUUUUCAUCCAGUCCUGAAGCUUAGGAAUCCUCUAAUGGAUUGGAAGUUCAGCUGGAAUUGCCUGCCCAUCCCCACAAUAACCAAGGCACCAUCCAUUCUCCAUCUCUGCCUUGGAAAACUCACUGCUUAUAAAUCAAGAAGAGAAGUCAACGUUUAUCUCUUUCAUCACCAACUUCUGGUUCCUAUAGAAAAUUUUUGGCAGUGUGUGACCUCACUCCUGCUUCAAUCCUGGUUGCAGUGUUCUAAGGACAGAAAGCAUUUGAUGUAUUAUUGAGAACUCAAAUGUCAAUACAAAAAUUGUGCUGUUGGGUCAAUCUUCCACUUAUCUUUUUUUUUUUUUUUAAAUGCAUAUAGUCUUCCCUCCAAAACAAAAGGAUUUGAUGUUUUAUGAUUCUAAGACUAGCCUUCCCUUUCUUUUCUCCAGUGAGUACCUUUGUAUAAUUUUCAAAUGCUUUUCUUUCAUAAAUUACUAUUGCUGCUUCCAUUACUGAGACUUAAUCCCCAUUUCAUUUGCGAUGGAUGUUAAAUGCAUUUCUGGAAUCUGUUUAGUGAAGGCAAGUGUGGAUGAUUUGGGAAAGGAGAAGAGGGAUGGAAUACAAAUUUCACUGAUUCUUAUUUAUAGGAGCCUGGGAUUGCUGUCCAUGGUGGGACUUAGUCAGGGUUGCAUUAGAGAUUGGAAUGAGAAAGGAAUGAAGAAGAUAGCUUUUAUAACUUGCACUCUUGGGCAAUACAUCUCUAAAUCAUGACUUGUUCAGUGUUCAUUAGUUCUGGAAGGCAUUUUAGAAAUCAUCUAAUCAAAUGCCUUCAUUUUAAUUUAUUUUUUAACAUAUUGUUGGUGUCAUUUGUUUUUACAUCAAUGAUUAUGUCUGCAUGCAUUAUCUCUCUCUACUCCCCUUGCUCUCCCCAGUUAUCCUUCUCUUGUAAACAAAAAACGUUAAGCAAACCCAGCCAAUACAUCAGUGAAUGUUGAGAACAUAUGCAGCAUACAAUAUACUUAAUGUCUGUCUUCGCUAAUAGAGCAGAAGAAGGUUCAUUUUCUGAUUUCAGGACCAAAAUAGGUUAUUAUAGUUGCACAGUACUCACUGUUUUUGUUUAUAAUAUUAUACUCUUAUUAUUUU